CUAAAAACCUAGCCCUUACUCCCCCCCCCCCAAUUUUUUAUUUUAAACUAAAAUAUUUUAACAGUUAAGUAAAGAAGAUUAAAAACCCCUUUAAGAGCUAUAAAUACGUACCGCAAGGGAAAGAUGAAAUAAGAUGAAAUAUUAUCAAGCACAAAAUAGUAGAGACCUGCCCUCGUACCUUUCGCAUCAGGGUUUAGCUAGAGUAAUUAGGCAAAAAGUCCUUAAGUCUAACUCCCCGAAACUAAGUGAGCUAUCUUAGGGCCGCUUAAUGAGUCCACCCGUCUAUGUUGCAAAAUAGUGGGGUGACCCUAAGAUAGAAGUGACAGACCUACCGAACUUAGUGAUAGCUGGUUUCUUAGGAAAAGAAUGUUAGUUCAACCUAAAGCGACCCCAAACCACACAAUUAACUCCCUCGCUUUAGAGUAAUUCAAAUGAGGUACAGCUCAUUUGACCCAGGAUACAACCUUAACCAACGGCUAAAAUUUAACUUAUGUCCACAAGUAGGCCUAAGAGCAGCCACCUUCAAAAAAGCGUCAAAGCUUAGAUACACAUACCUUAAUUUAUUUACCCAUAUUGAACCCUUUAAUUGUACUGAGAACUUCUAUACUAUAUAGAAUUUUUUAUGCUAAAACUAGUAACAAGAGAUACCCCUCUCCCUAGUGUAAAUGUAAGUCAGCAAGAACCCAUCACUGACAACUAACAGAUUUAAACAAAAGUAGUAACUCCACAAGAAAACCCCACUUUUUCUCCUGUUAACCUAACACAAGAACACUUCAAGAAAGAUUAAAAGAAAAAGAAGGAACUCGGCAAAACCUAGCCCCGCCUGUUUACCAAAAACAUCGCCUCUUGAUUACCUCUAUAAGAGGUCUUGCCUGCCCAGUGACUCUGUUCAACGGCCGCGGUACCCUAACCGUGCGAAGGUAGCGUAAUCACUUGUUUUCUAAAUAAAGACCAGUAUGAAAGGCGUCACGAGGGUUAAACUGUCUCCUCUUUCUAAUCAGUGAACCUAAUCUUCCCGUGAAGAAGCGGGAAUUACCCCAUAAGACGAGAAGACCCUGUGGAGCUUAAAACAUCAUAACACUGCUAACAAAUACCAAUAUUCAGAUACCCCCUCCCUCAAAGCACGAUGAUUAUAAGUUUUUGGUUGGGGUGACCGCGGAGAAAAAUUAAACCUCCACUAUGAAAAGAGCCCUCCUUAACAAUAAGCUACAACCUUAUGUAUCAACAAAUUGACAUUAUUGACCCAACAAAUUGAUCAACGAACCAAGUUACCCCAGGGAUAACAGCGCAAUCCACUUUGAGAGCUCUUAUCGACAAGUGGGCUUACGACCUCGAUGUUGGAUCGGGAUAUCCUAGUGGUGCAG
Molecule: ribosomal RNA, 1364 nt
Filed under: Pristimantis jaguensis
Lineage: Eukaryota; Metazoa; Chordata; Amphibia; Anura; Strabomantidae
Description: partial 16S ribosomal RNA
Rfam family: Bacterial large subunit ribosomal RNA
Source: RNAcentral